Molecule: ribosomal RNA, 421 nt
Filed under: Anolis tropidonotus
Lineage: Eukaryota; Metazoa; Chordata; Lepidosauria; Squamata; Anolidae
Description: partial 16S ribosomal RNA
Rfam family: Bacterial large subunit ribosomal RNA
Source: RNAcentral
AAAUUAAGGCCCGUAUGAAUGGUUAAAUGAAUAUUUAACUGUCUCCUUUAACUAAUCAGUGAAACUGAUCUUUCAGUACAAAAGCUGAAAUAAUAACAUAAGACGAGAAGACCCCGUGGAGCUUAAAACUUUUAACAAAAUAUUAUAAAGCACAUAUUUAUGCCAUAAAGUUUUUAGUUGGGGCGACUUUGGAGCAAAACCCAACCUCCAAGAAAAGGCACCGCCUACACCAAGGCCCACAAGCCAAACUACAAAGACCCAGUAUCAAAUACUGAUCAACGAACCAAGUUACCCCAGGGAUAACAGCGCCAUCUUCUUCAAGAGUUCAUAUCGACAAGAAGGUUUACGACCUCGAUGUUGGAUCAGGACACCCAAAUGGUGCAGCCGCUAUUAAAGGUUCGUUUGUUCAACGAUUAACAGU